Molecule: ribosomal RNA, 253 nt
Filed under: uncultured bacterium
Lineage: Bacteria
Description: partial 16S ribosomal RNA
Rfam family: Bacterial small subunit ribosomal RNA
Source: RNAcentral
UACGGAGGUGGCAAGCGUUGUUCGGAAUUACUGGGCGUAAAGGGCGCGUAGGCGGCAAGGCAAGUCAGGUGUGAAAGCCCCGAGCUUAACUCGGGAAUUGCAUCUGAAACUGCUGUGCUUGAGUUCUGGAGGGGGUAGUGGAAUUCCCAGUGUAGCGGUGAAAUGCGUAGAUAUUGGGAGGAACACCAGUGGCGAAGGCGACUUCCUGGCCUGUUCUUGACGCUGAGGCGCGAAAGCGAGGGGAGCAAACGGG